RNAcentral lists this ribosomal RNA (909 nucleotides) under uncultured bacterium. RNAcentral describes it as "bacterial SSU rRNA". It matches the Rfam family "Bacterial small subunit ribosomal RNA", at positions 95 to 1040 of the family's 1533-position model. The record is from RNAcentral.
GUGGCGCACGGCUGAGUAACACGUGGGAACCCGCCCCCCGGUGGGGGAUAACGCGACGAAAGUUGCGCUAAUCCCGCAUACGUCCUUCGGGGGAAAGCGCAGUGCGCGCCGGGGGAGGGGCCUGCGGCCAUCAGGUCGUUGGUGGGGUAAGGGCCUACCAAGCCGAUGACGGGUAGCUGGUCUGGGAGGAUGACCAGCCAGACUGGGACUGAGACAAGGCCCAGACUCUACGGGAGGCAGCACCAAGGAAUUUUCGAAUGGGCGCAAGCUUGACCGAGCAACGCCGCGUGCGGGAUGACGGCCUUCGGGUUGUAAACCGCUUUUCGGGGGGACGAUGAUGACGUACCCCCGGAACAAGCCCCGGCUAACUCUGUGCCAGCAGCCGCGGUAAGACAGAGGGGGCGAGCGUUGUCCGGAGUCACUGGGCGUAAAGCGCGCGCAGGCGGCAACCUAAGUGUCGUGUGAAAGCCCCCGGCUCAACCGGGGGAGGCCAUGGCAAACUAGGUCGCUCGAGCUGCGGAGAGGCCCCUCGAAUUGCCGGUGUAGCGGUGAAAUGCGUAGAGAUCGGCAGGAAGACCAAGGGGGAAGCCAGGGGGCUGGCCGCAGCUGACGCUGAGGCGCGACAGCGUGGGGAGCAAACCGGAUUAGAUACCCGGGUAGUCCACGCCGUAAACGAUGACCACUCGGCGUGUGGCGACUAUUGACGUCGCGGCGCGCCCUAGCUCACGCGAUAAGUGGUCCGCCUGGGAACUACGAGCGCAAGCUUAAAACUCAAAGGAAUUGACGGGGGCCCGCACAAGCAGCGGAGCGUGUGGUUUAAUUCGACGCAACCCGAAGAACCUUACCCAGACUGGACAUGACGGUGCAGACGGCGGAAACGUCGUCGCCUCCGAGGGCCCGUCAAGGGCG